UACGUAGGUGGCGGGCGUUGUCCGGAAUUACUGGGUGUAAAGGGAGCGUAGGCGGGAGUGCAAGUUGAAUGUUAAAUCUAUCGGCUCAACCGAUAGCCGCGUUCAAAACUGCAUUUCUUGAGUGAAGUAGAGGUUGGCGGAAUUCCUAGUGUAGCGGUGAAAUGCGUAGAUAUUAGGAGGAACACCAGUGGCGAAGGCGGCCAACUGGGCUUUACUGACGCUGAGGCUCGAAAGCGUGGGGAGCAAACAGGAUUAGAUACCCUGGUAGUCCCUGA
RNAcentral lists this ribosomal RNA (275 nucleotides) under uncultured prokaryote. Its description in RNAcentral is "partial 16S ribosomal RNA". It matches the Rfam family "Bacterial small subunit ribosomal RNA", at positions 524 to 800 of the family's 1533-position model. The record is from RNAcentral.